AAAUCAGCAAGUAAUUCAUCUUAUCUCCACUCAGGCCAAAUAUCAUACCACACGAGCAAGUAAUUCAUCUUAUCUCCCAUCAAGUCAAAUAUCGUAACAAACCAGCAAGCAAUGCAUCUUGUAGUUACCUCGUACCCUUUGUGCUGACAAACUGAAGACUAUCGGACACUUACAUCUCCACCACACCAAACCUAAUCAGAGAAUAGAUAGGCAAGGGCGCCAAACCUCCAAACGCCCACUUAUGGAAGGUAAGGUUGGUGUUGAAGAACUUGGGAUGCACACAGACCGACGCGGUUGUGCCGCAGUGUCUUCAAUAGUCGGAGCUGUGCGCCACGCUACCC
This 341-nucleotide long non-coding RNA is filed under the name Hordeum vulgare. RNAcentral describes it as "long non-coding RNA (HVUL_LNC012227)". The record is from RNAcentral. Lineage: Eukaryota; Viridiplantae; Streptophyta; Magnoliopsida; Poales; Poaceae.